ACGAACGCUGGCGGCGCGCUUAACACAUGCAAGUCGAACGUGAAGCCCGGGCUUGCUCGGGUGGAAAGUGGCGAACGGGUGAGGAACACGUGAGGAACCUGCCCCGAAGACCAGGACAAGCCGAGGAAACUUGGUCUAAUACUGGAUGUCUUCAUCGAAUCGCAUGGUUUGAUGAAGAAAUGAAUUUUGCUUCGGGAUGGCCUCGCGGCCUAUCAGCUUGUUGGUGGGGUAACGGCCUACCAAGGCGACGACGGGUAGCUG
Molecule: ribosomal RNA, 261 nt
Filed under: uncultured bacterium
Lineage: Bacteria
Description: partial 16S ribosomal RNA
Rfam family: Bacterial small subunit ribosomal RNA
Source: RNAcentral